UACGGAGGAUGCGAGCGUUAUCCGGAUUUAUUGGGUUUAAAGGGUGCGUAGGCGGCUUUUUAAGUCAGCGGUGAAAUUUUGCAGCUUAACUGUAACAGUGCCGUUGAUACUGCAUGGCUAGGAUUUGGUUGCUGUGGGUGGAAUGUGUGGUGUAGCGGUGAAAUGCUUAGAUAUCACACAGAAUAUCGAUUGCGAAGGCAGCUCACAAAGCCAAGAUUGACGCUGAGGCACGAAAGUGUGGGGAUCAAACAGGA
RNAcentral lists this ribosomal RNA (254 nucleotides) under uncultured prokaryote. RNAcentral describes it as "partial 16S ribosomal RNA". It matches the Rfam family "Bacterial small subunit ribosomal RNA", at positions 524 to 777 of the family's 1533-position model. The record is from RNAcentral.